AAACAAUGUUUGAACAAGUAAUUUUGGGUCCGUAAUAUAGCCCAUAUCACAAAAAUGCCCCAAAAAGUACUUAAAGGUCAAAAUUUGGGGUCGACAAAAAGUCAAUGGAAUAGUUCUAUUGUCCUGCUUCUUUCGUCGGAGGGCUCUCUUUAGGUUUCCGAAAAGGUAUCACAUGCCAAGUUUGGCCUCACGGUAUAAAAGUUAUAGACUCAUAAAGUUUUAACCAAAAAAAACAAAUUAAAAAAAAAGAUGGAUGCAACACGAGGACUUUCCGGGAGGUCACCCAUCCUAGUACUACUCUCGCCCAAGCACGCUUAACUAAAGGUCAAAAUUUGGAGUCGACAAAAAGUCAAUGGAUAUGUUCCAUUGUCCUGCUUCUUUCAUCGCUG
Molecule: small RNA, 389 nt
Filed under: Arabidopsis thaliana (thale cress)
Lineage: Eukaryota; Viridiplantae; Streptophyta; Magnoliopsida; Brassicales; Brassicaceae
Description: ATSL275380
Source: RNAcentral